UCUUAAACCUCAUUAUAAAUAUCGUUAUACGCUCGCAUACUCCUAUGUAUCCGGUCCGAAUGAUAGCUGUAUUGCCAUUAGGUUCUGCAAUAUAAACAGAGCUCAGUUUUAAAAUGUUUCCCUCGGAACGGCUUGCAAAUGUGUUUGAUACUAGCGUCUAAUGGCUUAUUCGAAAGCCGUUUCUUCCACAUUUCACGAUAAUCAUUACCAUGCCUAUCAAGUAAGGAUGGCAUAAUAUCGAUAUGAAAAACUUCAUAACAACUUAAGACGUAUCAAUAAAGCAUUUUUUUCACAUACUACAGUACGUAAAACAGUGCUUAUUGAUGCUUUUAGCAAUGUUUCAAAUGUUCCGAGCAACCUAUGCAUACAAGUUAUUUUUACUGUGAAGUAUGGAUACAGCACACUAACUAAUCAAUCAAGCCAAACUAUGUAUAAAUAACUCAGUCAAUCUCAUUUUAUAAAAAACUGUUGAAUAUGAAACUAGUAAAAAGUUCAAG
Schizosaccharomyces pombe (fission yeast) is the source of this 497-nucleotide non-coding RNA. The record is from the annotation of a GenBank genome assembly. NCBI's taxonomy places the organism in Eukaryota, Fungi, Ascomycota, Schizosaccharomycetes, Schizosaccharomycetales, Schizosaccharomycetaceae.